RNAcentral lists this ribosomal RNA (253 nucleotides) under uncultured bacterium. RNAcentral's name for it is "partial 16S ribosomal RNA". It matches the Rfam family "Bacterial small subunit ribosomal RNA", at positions 524 to 776 of the family's 1533-position model. The record is from RNAcentral.
UACGUAGGGGGCAAGCGUUGUCCGGAUUUAUUGGGCGUAAAGAGCGUGUAGGCGGUCAGGUAGGUCCGUUGUGAAAACUCGAGGCUCAACCUCGAGACGCCGAUGGAAACCAUCUGACUGGAGUCCGGAAGAGGAGAGUGGAAUUCCUGGUGUAGCGGUGAAAUGCGCAGAUAUCAGGAAGAACACCCGUGGCUAAGGCGGCUCUCUAGUACGGUACUGACGCUGAGACGCGAAAGCGUGGGGAGCGAACAGG